This 73-nucleotide transfer RNA is filed under the name Stegodyphus mimosarum. It matches the Rfam family "tRNA". From Rfam's summary of the family: Transfer RNA (tRNA) molecules are approximately 80 nucleotides in length. Their secondary structure includes four short double-helical elements and three loops (D, anti-codon, and T loops). The record is from Rfam by way of RNAcentral. Lineage: Eukaryota; Metazoa; Arthropoda; Arachnida; Araneae; Eresidae.
GCCUUCGGGGUGUAAUGGUUAGCACACUGAGCCGGUAUUUCAGAGGUCCGUGGUUCGAUCCCCGGCGAAGGCC